Molecule: long non-coding RNA, 1050 nt
Organism: Mustela erminea (ermine)
Lineage: Eukaryota; Metazoa; Chordata; Mammalia; Carnivora; Mustelidae
Exons: 3
Source: RefSeq, a predicted model, not a curated record
CCGGAGGCCGGGGCAGCUCUUUGCCAGGACACCAGGAUGAGACACAGCGCCCGCUGCGUCUAGGGGCAAGCUGGCCGGGGCGAGGUGGCCGGGACACGAACAGCUCAGCCAGCCAGAGUUUGUAUGAGCCGGCUGGGCCCCUACUGAGAGGCUGGGCCCCUUAAAAGUCCCUUCGGUAUGAACUGGCCUGAGAAAGACCAAAUUUAUUCACUGCGGGCAGGCGACCCCGGCCUGGGGAGCACCGAGGGGGGUGAGGCGCUGCCUGGAUCUCGCUCCUGAGUCAUUCUACAAGUUUCUUUGCCUAAGCUGGGCAAAUGUUAUGAAUCCUAUUAUUGUGAGCCUCCCCUCUAUAGGAAGUGGAGAAGGAGGCUUAGAGAGGUGAUGCUGUGUCCUACGACCUCUUUCCUCCUUCCUGCAAAUCCAGGGCUGUCCCCUCUGGGCCUUGUUGCUAACGCACAUUUCUUAUGCAUUUUUCUGCACUUAGGGUGGCUUCAGCUCAGACUGCCAGUUUGGAUGACCUGACUGGGCCUCUAUCUUAGAGGCUGCGUCCCUUAAAUAUCCCUAAAGUAUGAAACUGCUGGAGAAGGGCACACCUAGUUUGUCUAGGAGCCUGCCACUCUUCCACUUAGCAGCCCUCAGAACAGUCUCUGCCUCCUCCCCGCCAGCUCCACGGCAACAAAAUGGAGUAGUAAGGCCAGCCUUGGUCAAGGAGAGAUUACAGUCUGUGGGACCAAUAGAUGGCAAAUGGCCCAUCACAGCAUCCUGGGUGAGGUGCUCUGACAUGUCAACAUUAAACAUUUAAACACAUUAAAAAACUCUCCCUGGAAAACCCAGAGAACCACCAUCAGAUUUGGACUUGGGGAUUUUUCUCUUUGUGAUUUCGAGACUUGAAGGUCAGCUAGCUAUGAACUAGAAGAGAGAAGGAAAAGAUGUGCCCUAAACUGUUUAAGAACAAGCCAUUUCUACAAGGACUCCUGGUACCUUUGAGUGGAAAAUGAAGGAACCAAGCUCUGGGUGCCAGAGAGAGAGUGAGAUAGAGCGAGAGCACGC